CAAAAUUGAGGCAGAUCGUGACGAUGGGCUCCCAGGACACGCUGGAAGAAAAAACCGUAACCGUUUGCUGUGCGAAUGACUUUGUAAAUAUCGCUUUCAUAAAUUUUUGUUGUACGAGAAAAGAAAUCGCCAGGCUGUGGACUGAAUCUCUCAUAAGUUUAGCUUAUAAUUUGAACCAAAUCAAUGGCACAACCAAGAUGUAUUUAUUCAAAGCGUACACCAAAUUGAAUUUGAUUAGAGACAAGUCUGGAAAUAUACCGGUAAAGAACGUAUUGAAAAUGUUCGCACAAAAUAAAGAGGACAAAAAACGAAUAGAAUCGAUACUGCACGCUUUGGGAUUUUCCACGGGGAAAACGGACACUAUCAAUCCGGAAACGUUCGACUUCGAAAUGUUUUUCAAUUUUUAUGUUCAGCUCACGAAGAGGACGGAAGUCGAGAAAGUUUUCAAUGAAAUAGUUGGCGCAAAAAAGGUAAUGACUUCCCACCAGUUCGUGGAGUUCUUGAACAAAACUCAAAGGGACCCCCGACUGAACGAAAUCCUUCAUCCCUACGCGGACGCAACCAGAUCGAAAGAUGUGAUAGCCCUCUACGAACCGAACAAAUACAACGCCCAGAAAGGCCAGCUCUCCUUUGAGGGCUUCCUGCGUUAUCUUCUCUCUGAAGACAAUAACAUCAUGGCGCCUGCCAAAUUUGAUCUCAGCCACGAUAUGGAUCAACCGUUAGCACAUUAUUUCAUCAACUCGUCGCACAAUACUUAUUUGACUGGCCAUCAGUUGACAGGGAAGUCCAGCACCGAAAUGUAUCGACAGUGUCUGUUAGCUGGAUGUAGAUGUGUGGAACUAGAUUUUUGGAAUGGCAGAACCGAGGAGCCCAUAAUAGUCCAUGGAUAUACUUUUGUACCUGAAAUAUCAGCAAAAGAGGUGCUAGAAGCGAUAGCUGAAAGUGCUUUCAAAACAUCAGAUUAUCCAGUAGUCCUGUCCUUCGAAAAUCAUUGUAAUCCACGUCAGCAGGCGAAGAUUGCGAACUAUUGUAGAGAGAUAUUUGGUGAUAUGCUUCUAGAAUCUCCCUUGGAAUCUCACAAGCUGGAACCUGGAAAUCCUCUUCCCCCACCAUCGUUAUUGAAAAGAAAAAUAAUAAUAAAAAAUAAGAAAAAACAUCACCAUCAUCACCAUCACAAAAGGAACGUUACUCCAUCGCCAGAAGUUCAGAAUGUAGAGAAUACAACAAAUGGCGAAGCACCUAGACAUGCUCCUCCUUUACAAACCAGACAGGGAUCUAAAGAAUCGACUGGAACAGAAGAAGACGAUUCUUCGAGUGACGUCGAAGAAGGAGAAACCCUAGAGGCGGAUGUUUCCUCUGAAAACAAUACUGAAGAAGGUGGUGAUAACAAACCUGUUCCCGCUACGGAAACCGAGGCUGGAGCUGAAAUAUCAGCUUUGGUUAACUAUGUACAGCCUGUUCACUUUUCGAGUUUCGAAAAUGCCAAAAAAAAAAACCGCAGCUACGAAAUGUCUUCGUUCGACGAAAGACAAGCCACGUCACUUCUCAAGGAGUACCCCAUACAGUUCGUCAACUACAACAAGCACCAGUUGAGCAGGGUCUACCCCGCCGGUACCCGUUUCGACUCGUCCAAUUUCAUGCCUCAGGUGUUCUGGAACGCGGGUUGCCAGCUAGUCGCCCUGAACUACCAAACGCUAGAUUUGGCGAUGCAGUUGAACUUAGGAAUCUUCGAAUAUAACUUCAGGAGCGGCUACUUACUUAAACCGGAAUUCAUGCGUCGUACUGACAGGAGAUUUUACCCUUUCGCCGAGUCAACUGUGGACGGUAUAAUUGCCGGUACCGUUAAAAUAACUGUGAUAUCUGGACAAUUCUUGACUGAUAAGAGAGUAGGGACUUACGUUGAGGUGGAGAUGUACGGGUUACCGGCGGAUACUGUUAGGAAAAGAUUCAAGACGAAAGUUGUGCAGAAUAAUGGCAUCAAUCCAGUUUAUGAUGAAGAACCGUUUGUGUUCAAAAAGGUGGUGCUACCAGAUUUAGCCUCGAUUAGAAUCGUAGCAUAUGAAGAGUCCGGAAGAUUCAUCGGUCAUCGAAUUCUGCCAGUUGUUGGCUUGUGCCCGGGCUACCGACACGUCAACUUACGAACCGAAAUCGGACAACCUCUCCCUUUAGCAACACUAUUUUUGAAAGUUGUCGUUAAAGACUACGUUCCAGAUGGAUUGUCGGACUUUGCAGAAGCGCUGGCAAACCCUAUCAAAUACCAAAGCGAUUUAGAAAAACGAGCUCAGCAGUUGGCGGUGCUUACGGAUGAUAUGGAGCCUGUGGAAGGGGGAGAUGAACAAAAGCGAAACACCUUGACUAGAGGCAAUAAGGAAGUGACAACGAAUGGUAGUCCAGCACAGAGGCCUUCCAUAACAGGUGGGAGUACUUCUGUUGAAUCCACGACCGAUAACGAUGUUCUUGUUGCAUUUCCUGCUCUGUCAUCUUCCACUAUAGCUGUGGAAACGAAUACACUUUGCAAAGUUCCUGAAAUCAAAGAGGAAAAAAUUGAGGACUUGAUAGCCGAACCGUUAGAGAAAAUUUUGGAAAAUAAAGUUGUGAGGGAGAAGAAACUUGAAUUGGAAAAGAAAUUGGAGAACUUGAGGAAGAAGCACGAGAAAAAGAAAAUGUCUUUAAAUUCGCAGAAAUCAACUGAUUUCUCAGAAAAAAAGUCGAAAUUAGUCAAUAUGAAGCUUGUGAAGAGGUUAUCUAGCAAGAGCAUCGUUUCUUCUGUUUUCUAUACUGAAUCUCCCAGCGCCGAACCACUAACCAACGUAGCGGACGGUCCAGAAAUUAGUGGAAGUGACGGAGAAAAACCUACCUUACCUAGGAGUCAUUCAGAGCGACUUCUGGCAAUGAAUAAGGAGUUCGUCACUCAGGAAAAAGAACUCAGGGAAAAAUAUCACGAGGUCAUUUUCAAUACCGCGGAAAAGGUCAUGAAGACGUCUCAAUCGAGUCAGGUUAAAACAUUGAAGGAACAAUUCGAAAAGGAAACAUCAGAGCUGAUGAGAAAACUGCAGGCCGAUCAUAGGGAGGAAGUCAAAGCCUUAGCGAAGAAACAUCGAAAUAGGGAACAAUUCACUAGAGUCAAAAGAGAAGCAGUUACUGCCGUAGUUGGCAGAGGAGUCUCCGAACGAGAAAAAUUAGGACAGCUGUUCGAAAACCGGAAAGAAGAAUUGCUAAGGCAGCACGAACAUAUUAAGGAACUUCUGCUGGAGCAAAGAGAUAAGGCCAAGACUGCGCUCUGCAAAGAAUUCGAAACACGUCUUGCUAGAGUUGAGGGAGAGUCCAGCGAUGUUCAGUAGGUGGAAGAGUAGAUCCUAACCUAACUUCAUUUCAGUAUUGAGUACUCGAAUAGAGAUUGACUCCUCUGAAGAAGGAGAUCCGACGACGAUAAAAUACUCAUUUUGAACGGGACGAACAAAAAAUACUCUUUGAGAUGUUAUCGACAAUCAAUUGAAGAUCCAUUCAUUUGGUAUUAGUUUCCUAGGACUUGUUACUAGUAUAUUCUGUACUGUAUUUAGAGAGUAACGUGGUGAAAUUGACAGACGGUUCGGAAAAUGGAACGGUGCCAAAAUGUUGUUGCUGUCAAUUGUCGCGAGGACUGUCAUUCACUCAAUGCACUCUAAUAUGCAUCGAUGUUUGUUGUUAUUUGUGAUAGUAGAGAUUAGUUAUUACAUUAGUCGAAGUGAUAUAAAAUAAAAGAAGCUUAAAGAAUAGUCAAAACACUUGUGCCAUUUGAAUUUUGUUAUUCGAAUUGAUUUCAUAGAUCGAUGGGUUGACGAAAGUGUGGUUAGGGGCUUUACAGUGGUUCAGAUUCGGGAUAAACGAUUCCAGUCCAAUGUUUACGCCCUAAUUUUUCAAAAUAAAUAAUUCGGAUAUUCCUUAGGGCAUAUUGGAUGGUAAUGGUAAUUAUUUAUAAUCAUACAAAUAUAGUUAUACCGGGUGGCAACGAAGUUAUUGUACAUAGCACCAUUCACUUGUUUCUAGAAUAUGAAAUUUGAAAUUCGGAAAGAACGUACAGUUUCUAAUUAAAAAACAACUGGAAACCUAUUUGGGUCUAACAGGAAAUGAAUACUCAAGAACUUCGAAUAGAGCCCUGUAUUUUAAGAUCGUUUUGAUAAGUCACGCAAGUGAAAUAUUUUCUUUCAAAAUAGCGCCUAAGGACGUAGGAGCCAUUUUCUCUAAAUUCAAUACGGCGGCGCUGUGACGUCAUCUAUGAACUUUCCUUGUAAAUGCAUGACGAGAGCGGUACCAAAAGUGUAAUAAGGCUAGGUGGACGGAAGUUGAGAGGGAGGUUAGUUAGUGAAGAUAGAAGGAGAGAGAGAGUUCCGUUUCGUUCACUACUGAAGGGUUCAGAGAGAGAGGGGUAAAAAUUUAUCUUAACGGAUCGCCGCUAGAGGGCUACCUUGUAUAUGAAUCGACAUAACUUUUGAUUUUGAGUCGAUUGACAUGACCCCUAGCGUCCGGAAAGGUCGAAUAAAAAAGUCGGAGAACGCUAUAUCAGCGUUGCCCGGGUGUUGGACGAUUCCGAUGCCCGAAGUAUAGGCAAAAAGGGGUAAACAUUCGUCUUAACGAAUCGCCGCUAGAGGGCGACCGAAUACAUUUGAAUCGAUUGACAUGACCUUCAGGAUCCGCAGAGGUCAAAUGACAAAGUUGUUCCAAAUGGCUUAAAAACACUAUAUUUCCAUGAAAAGAGGCUCCGCACCUGAUCUAACCUAACCUACAUAACCUAACCUAACCUACCUAACCUAACCAACCUAACCUAUCUAACCUAACCUAAAGAUGCAAGCACAUAUAUGCGGUCGAGUAGGCUCUGAAUGAUUAGAAGGAAACUAUCAUACAUUGUCACUAAUUUUAGCAGGAGAUUUCAAUGUUGAUUUCGCGUCCGAAAAUGGACAACUUUUGGUAAACUUUCUACAAGAUAAAUCAGAAUAACAAUGGAACAACAAUCGAUGCAGUCUUGUUCUUCGUGAAAGUAUAUUUUCGUAGGUUUUCAAUUAUUUAAAAUUCUUGCAUUGAGUUUAUUUCCGGUUGAACUGGAAUAGGUUUACAAUUGUUUUUUUCAUCAGAAAUAUCAGCUCGAAGCAACUAUACCUUCGUUUGUUUAUUCGAAUUUCGUACCCCAUAAACAAAUGAAUUGAGUCGUUUACAAUGAUUUGGAUGUCACCCGGUAUAAAGGCCAAUAUUUGGAAAGCUAUGUUUUGACUAUCAUGCCUUUUCAUCAGUUUGAAACAGGUGUAAUUUUGACUAUCAUGCCUUUUCAUCAGUUUGAAACAGGUGUAACUCACUAUGACAUCAAUGAAUAAUUAUUAAGUAUAAUUCAUAUUUUUCGAAAAUUUUUGCGUAAAUCAUAUAAUGUUUACUUUCUACUCACAAUUUUCAGUUAAACACAGCAUCAAUCAUGUUUUGCAUUACCUUGUCAACCGUCAAAACAUUCAUAUCAACAUUUAUGUUAUUUCUCUUCAAUUGGAAUGGACUCCCUUAGCUUCUUUUUUACUUCGAGGUCCACAUUUGAGAAACCUUUUAUAUUGACUAUUUUUUCUAAAUUGUUUUUACUAAUCUAUUUGAUCACAAAUUGGACAGGGAGUACGUCGUAAUUCUGAGCCACUGUAGCUCAAGGAAUAAUUUAUUUUUUUUGCUGAUGUUUGUACAAUACAUAAUGGAGUAUUAUGUAGCAUAGGAGUUAUUAUCUAGUGAAAUAUAGAUGAAUAUUAGAUAGUCGGGUAUAACUUAUUUCUACACUCAGUUCAGUAUUCUUAUUUACUUCAUCCAAACUCACUUUUCUUGUUAUCAUUCUACCAAAGGACUUUGUAGAUGUGUAAAGAUUGAUUACUUCAUCUGAAAAUAGCUCAUCUCAUCAUAAUAGAUACCGCGGAAGAUGCAAAUUGAAGGGAUAUAAAAUAGAAAUCACAGACAUAUUGAUAAGUAGUAGAAAUGAACGGAAUUUAAAUAUAUUUUGACAAUCAAAAAGUAUUACUUCAUAAAAAAAUCACAAUACUUUUAGGAAAAGAAGUAAUUUAUAAAUAUGCCAUUUAUUGACAUUUCAUGUCAAAACUCAAUCAGAUAAAUUAAUAAUUCAGGCAAAACCAGUCGAUUUUAAAAAAACAAUAUAAUCUUACUUUUUAUAAAAA
This is an unclassified non-coding RNA of Leptinotarsa decemlineata (Colorado potato beetle), 6170 nucleotides long. Lineage: Eukaryota; Metazoa; Arthropoda; Insecta; Coleoptera; Chrysomelidae. The record is from RefSeq and is a predicted model, not a curated record.